UACGGAGGAUGCGAGCGUUAUCCGGAUUUAUUGGGUUUAAAGGGUGCGUAGGCGGGAUGCCAAGUCAGCGGUAAAAAUGCGGUGCUCAACGCCGUCGAGCCGUUGAAACUGGCGUUCUUGAGUGGGCGAGAAGUAUGCGGAAUGCGUGGUGUAGCGGUGAAAUGCAUAGAUAUCACGCAGAACUCCGAUUGCGAAGGCAGCAUACCGGCACCCUACUGACGCUGAGGCACGAAAGCGUGGGUAUCGAACAGG
This 252-nucleotide ribosomal RNA is filed under the name uncultured bacterium. RNAcentral describes it as "partial 16S ribosomal RNA". It matches the Rfam family "Bacterial small subunit ribosomal RNA", at positions 524 to 776 of the family's 1533-position model. The record is from RNAcentral.